Dermacentor albipictus is the source of this 1018-nucleotide long non-coding RNA. RefSeq lists it as uncharacterized. The record is from RefSeq and is a predicted model, not a curated record. Lineage: Eukaryota; Metazoa; Arthropoda; Arachnida; Ixodida; Ixodidae.
UGGCUACACAGGUCGUGAUGAAAAUUUGGUGGGAUCUUCGAACACGUGCCAAGCUGCGUUUUAUCACCUUCUGAUACAGCAAGAGACUAGUCUUGAUAUGCGCGCAAGCUAGAAAGGACGCGCUUGCGCAGUACAUGUCUCAACACCAGGCGGUAGUUUGGGCAGAGGGUGCAGGAAUUUGCCUUGGAACGCCCCCGUAGAUUGCGUCAAAUUUCAGCGCGCCUGCCCCACGGUGCCCAAAGUAGUCAUUCGCUGCACGCUCCGCAGAGGACACUCGACUAUGGCCGGAGAAGAAACGGCUCGACCCUACUUGACGAUGUCGUACGCCAGCUGCAACGUGGACCAGGGUGCAAGCAGUGCAGCGCCUGAUCUGGACUCUGGCAGAGUUCCCGAAGAAACCAGAGAAGCAGCGUGGCAGCAGCGAGAGAACCAGGCUGCCAACAGAAUCCUACAGUGCCAUGUGUGCCAGUUCGCUUUCACCGACAUGGAGGCCUUCAAAAACCACGCCUACGACCACUCGCUUGGGAAAAUCCACAACUGUUCGGAGUGUGGGAAACUGUAUAAGAGGCAUUACGACCUCACGAGACAUUUGCUUACGCACGGCGAACCAUCCUUUCAGUGCGGCGUGUGCGGCAAAACAUUUUAUACCAAAGAUGGCCACCAGAACCACGUGUUUGUAUUCCACGUAGGCACACAGGAUUGAGAAGCCGUCGAUGGGUCUGUUUAACACGGGUAGCACAAACCACGAAAUUGGUCCGGCACGUCUUGAAGCACCGUCGGAGGACUCGCAUCUGCGUCGGUGUAGCCGGAUGUUCGCCCGUGAGGAGUGACUUCUCUGGAUGUCACCCUGGUGCCAAGACGUGUCGUGUGCGUUCGCAGAAAAACUUUCGAUCUGGGCCUCAACUUCUCUAGCUGCGCGCUGACUUCUUGACAAACCAAAGGGGGCUAAUCUUAUUCUUUCUGACUACGGCUGAAGAAUGCCUGCAAAUAAAGUUGUUACAGUGAUUAUCUCGUGGAA